RNAcentral lists this ribosomal RNA (497 nucleotides) under uncultured bacterium. RNAcentral's name for it is "partial 16S ribosomal RNA". It matches the Rfam family "Bacterial small subunit ribosomal RNA", at positions 28 to 507 of the family's 1533-position model. The record is from RNAcentral.
GAUGAACGCUGGCGGCGUGCCUAAUACAUGCAAGUCGAGCGAACAGACGAGGAGCUUGCUCCUUCGACGUUAGCGGCGGACGGGUGAGUAACACGUAGGUAACCUACCUAUAAGACUGGGAUAACUUCGGGAAUCCGGAGCUAAUACCGGAUAAUAUUUCGAACCGCAUGGUUCGAUAGUGAAAGAUGGCUUUGCUAUCACUUAUAGAUGGACCUGCGCCGUAUUAGCUAGUUGGUAAGGUAACGGCUUACCAAGGCAACGAUACGUAGCCGACCUGAGAGGGUGAUCGGCCACACUGGAACUGAGACACGGUCCAGACUCCUACGGGAGGCAGCAGUAGGGAAUCUUCCGCAAUGGGCGAAAGCCUGACGGAGCAACGCCGCGUGAGUGAUGAAGGUCUUCGGAUCGUAAAACUCUGUUAUUAGGGAAGAACAAACGUGUAAGUAGCUGUGCACGUCUUGACGGUACCUAAUCAGAAAGCCACGGCUAACUACGUG